ACAUAUUCCAAAAGCGCUUUCACAAAUGAUGUACAUUUGUCUUUAAACAGGCUCCAGUGUGGGGUUUGAACUGAUGACCCUGAGAUCAAGACCUGAGAGCCAAGAUCAAGAGUUGGACACUUAACCAACUGAGCCACCAAGGUGCCCUAAAUGAUGUAUGUUUACAUCUCACUUCCCCUAAGUCAUAGUUUAUCCUCAUUUUACAGAUAAAGAAACUGAGGCAAAAAUAGAAUCAGGGCACUAUUAUCUUUCCUAGACAUGGAAGCAAGGCAAGAUAUAUUCCAGAGUCCCAGUGGGAGAAUUCGUGUGCAGAUGACACUUGAAGACUGAGCAAAGGAAUAAAUGGAAUCCUGUUGGUCCCCCUUCUGACUUGACCUCCAUGGAAUCCAUUCUCACCUAUCAGAGAGAAAACAUGAUGAAAGCUGACAGAUACAAAGAUGAAUUAAUCCUCCACUUCCAUCCUCUGCCUCCUCCCCGUUUUUGGAAGGGGAAGCAGUAAGUCACUCCUAUCUUCAGUGCCCACCCUCUGUAAGGUGCAGGCU
Molecule: long non-coding RNA, 542 nt
Filed under: Vulpes vulpes (red fox)
Lineage: Eukaryota; Metazoa; Chordata; Mammalia; Carnivora; Canidae
Description: lncRNA (ENSVVUG00000018714.1)
Source: RNAcentral